AGCCAAAAGUUCCAACAGCAGUAUUGUGCAACUGCAGGAUGUUAGAUGUGUGGGAGUUCCUGGGGAGCUCAAGCCAGAGCCGCAUUAAAGCCAGUCCCAGCCAGGCUUAAGGAGAGCUGGAAUGGAGAGGAUUCUCAUCUAACAUCUGGGUUGCAGUUGUAUGUUAACAUGGACUUCCUAGGAAGUAACAUAUCAAACAAAAGGGAAAGUGAUCAACCAGCAGCAGGUACCAGCCACAGUUAACUGCACCUGCUAGGAGCUCUGAAAGACUUUUUUUUUUUUUAAACGAAUAAAGAAAUUCUCAUUUCACUCUCCUCCACACUGGACUCGCUGAAGAAAGAGCUACUCUCUGAUGAAGUUGGUGGUGCUGUGGAAGAGGACCGCCGCCUCCUGGACGAGGACCGGGACCGCUCAGCAUUGUCUGACUGACAGGAAAGGACCCAGAUAAGAUCCUGGAGGCAAUGGGAUGUGUGGCUGCUCAACACAGACCGACCACACUUGCUCACUGCCGUGUCAUCUCAUACCCUUCCACCCUGGACAUACAUACCUUCUCACAUGCACCAAGACUCUGUGCAUGGAGAGAAUCCUCAAACCAACAGAAAAAUGAUUGACACAGAAGCCAAGUGCCAGCACUGCGUAUAAGUAACACUACCACCAUCCACAGUGAAGUUAAAAGGAGUUCGAGUAAAUUCUUAGAUCCAUCUUCAUACUUCCACUUCCUCAGACAGCCGGGAGAGCCACCUUUCAGAAGCUUUUUUCAUCUGAUCCUCAUGUCCUUUCAAAGGUGAUUUUGUCUCUUGAGGGAUUUCUGGUUGUCACAAGUUGGGGGUAGUGCUACUGGCAUCUAGUGUGUAGAAGUCAAGUAUGGUGAGAAACAUCCAGAACACACAGGACAGUCCCACAUGAAAAAGAAUUAUUCAGCCAAAAAAGUCACGAGUGCCAAGGUUGAGAGGCCCUGGAAUACAGCAACUACACUAUAAAACCAACUUGGAAUGUCUCCCAAAUGAAACUGGUUGACCUCGGUGAACUUCAUAAAAAAAUUUUUAUCAAAGGGAUGUUCACAAGUUUUGAGAACAAAUUUAGGAGUUUGAAGAAAAUGAGAGUAAGUCAUGGAGAGUAGAAGACAUUCCAAAGUGGUAAAUGUAGGCUGAAAAUGUAGCAUCUGAACCUGGGAGGCUCUGACCAUCUACUAUAAACGUGGACCUACUAACUGCAAUGAAGUAUCACAGGACUGUCUGAUAGACCAUUGUUCUGAUCUCUUGAAAAAGAGACUCUGUGUGGUACUCUAAGAAUUACAGUCCUCCCGCUCCGUGAUCAAGGUGUGCUCAUUCCAAGUUGUGAGAGUCUUCUGUGCUGAAAGACGAGCAACUACUUGCUGGGGCACCGAUUGGAGGGUCCAGGCAAGGUCAAGGUGGCCUCUGCUGAGAUCUUUCUGGAAAGAAAUCAAAAUCCUAACAGGAGUGGAAAAUCACUGGAAUCAAGAGCCUUGAGUUAUGCAAGAUGAAGCUGGCUCACUUCCGAAAGCUUUCUAGGUUCAAGCAAAUGAAAAUUCCUACGUAGAACAAACAAUGACAAGAAGUCUUAGCCUCCAGCACUUCACAGUUUCAAGCUAUGUUUCUAGGGAAGCAGAACAUUCCUGAAUGUCAUUGCAUUAUUCCUCGGGGAGAGAUAAGAAGCAGAGUCAGAAAACUGAGCCACCAAACCCAGCGAGCUGAGAGAGUUCUCAGAUGAAGAUGAUUCCAGACAGGCUGAGGAGAAUGAGCACAGAUUUUCUGGGAAGGUAAUGCAGGAAUCAAUAGGAUGGAAUACUGCAAAGGGAAGCUUGGAGAGAGAAUAGCCUCUGCACUUUGACUGUUUUGCAGUUAACCAAAGGCCAUCGAGGAUCAGAAUUACAAAAAUCAAACAGACCCAUGAGCUUGAGCUCAGUUGUGCAAAAUGUUUGUCAGUCAUCUCUCUUCAAAACAAACACAGGACAUCUUCUUAAAUUCUACCUCUGUUAAACUAUACUUCCCAAACAAGAACCUAUCAAACCC
This is a long non-coding RNA of Homo sapiens (human), 2033 nucleotides long. RefSeq annotates it as KCNN2 antisense RNA 1. The transcript is spliced from 13 exons. Lineage: Eukaryota; Metazoa; Chordata; Mammalia; Primates; Hominidae. The record is from RefSeq and is marked validated.